Molecule: ribosomal RNA, 1495 nt
Filed under: Escherichia coli
Lineage: Bacteria; Pseudomonadati; Pseudomonadota; Gammaproteobacteria; Enterobacterales; Enterobacteriaceae
Description: bacterial SSU rRNA
Rfam family: Bacterial small subunit ribosomal RNA
Source: RNAcentral
AGUCGAACGGUAACAGGAAGAAGCUUGCUUCUUUGCUGACGAGUGGCGGACGGGUGAGUAAUGUCUGGGAAACUGCCUGAUGGAGGGGGAUAACUACUGGAAACGGUAGCUAAUACCGCAUAACGUCGCAAGACCAAAGAGGGGGACCUUCGGGCCUCUUGCCAUCGGAUGUGCCCAGAUGGGAUUAGCUUGUUGGUGGGGUAACGGCUCACCAAGGCGACGAUCCCUAGCUGGUCUGAGAGGAUGACCAGCCACACUGGAACUGAGACACGGUCCAGACUCCUACGGGAGGCAGCAGUGGGGAAUAUUGCACAAUGGGCGCAAGCCUGAUGCAGCCAUGCCGCGUGUAUGAAGAAGGCCUUCGGGUUGUAAAGUACUUUCAGCGGGGAGGAAGGGAGUAAAGUUAAUACCUUUGCUCAUUGACGUUACCCGCAGAAGAAGCACCGGCUAACUCCGUGCCAGCAGCCGCGGUAAUACGGAGGGUGCAAGCGUUAAUCGGAAUUACUGGGCGUAAAGCGCACGCAGGCGGUUUGUUAAGUCAGAUGUGAAAUCCCCGGGCUCAACCUGGGAACUGCAUCUGAUACUGGCAAGCUUGAGUCUCGUAGAGGGGGGUAGAAUUCCAGGUGUAGCGGUGAAAUGCGUAGAGAUCUGGAGGAAUACCGGUGGCGAAGGCGGCCCCCUGGACGAAGACUGACGCUCAGGUGCGAAAGCGUGGGGAGCAAACAGGAUUAGAUACCCUGGUAGUCCACGCCGUAAACGAUGUCGACUUGGAGGUUGUGCCCUUGAGGCGUGGCUUCCGGAGCUAACGCGUUAAGUCGACCGCCUGGGGAGUACGGCCGCAAGGUUAAAACUCAAAUGAAUUGACGGGGGCCCGCACAAGCGGUGGAGCAUGUGGUUUAAUUCGAUGCAACGCGAAGAACCUUACCUGGUCUUGACAUCCACGGAAGUUUUCAGAGAUGAGAAUGUGCCUUCGGGAACCGUGAGACAGGUGCUGCAUGGCUGUCGUCAGCUCGUGUUGUGAAAUGUUGGGUUAAGUCCCGCAACGAGCGCAACCCUUAUCCUUUGUUGCCAGCGGUCCGGCCGGGAACUCAAAGGAGACUGCCAGUGAUAAACUGGAGGAAGGUGGGGAUGACGUCAAGUCAUCAUGGCCCUUACGACCAGGGCUACACACGUGCUACAAUGGCGCAUACAAAGAGAAGCGACCUCGCGAGAGCAAGCGGACCUCAUAAAGUGCGUCGUAGUCCGGAUUGGAGUCUGCAACUCGACUCCAUGAAGUCGGAAUCGCUAGUAAUCGUGGAUCAGAAUGCCACGGUGAAUACGUUCCCGGGCCUUGUACACACCGCCCGUCACACCAUGGGAGUGGGUUGCAAAAGAAGUAGGUAGCUUAACCUUCGGGAGGGCGCUUACCACUUUGUGAUUCAUGACUGGGGUGAAGUCGUAACAAGGUAACCGUAGGGGAACCUGCGGUUGGAUCACCUCCUUACCUUAAAGAAGC